This 45-nucleotide ribosomal RNA is filed under the name Amanita orientifulva. RNAcentral's name for it is "partial 28S ribosomal RNA". The record is from RNAcentral. Lineage: Eukaryota; Fungi; Basidiomycota; Agaricomycetes; Agaricales; Amanitaceae.
UUUUGACCUCAAAUCAGGUAGGACUACCCGCUGAACUUAAGCAAU